UCCCUCCAUUUUCUUCCGUAAAUCAAUUUCCUCUCAACUCAUUCUCUUCACACACCUCUUCAACUCAAAAUCCUAGCUCAUGAUCCAGAAUAACAAAGCAAGUACAUGUCUCAAAGCUCGGACGUGAACCACCAUUCUAACCCAACCCGUUACCUAUUAGUUUCGGUCAAAACAAGGUCUUCGAUUGCAAAAAUAGAUUUAGGGUUCCGACUAGAGAGAUUUAGUAAGGAGCGAUACUGGAGUAAAUGCGCAUAAGUCGAAGACGUGAGAGGAAUCUGGAAAAGCUUAGGCUUCUUCCAAAGGAAAUGCAUAGAACCCCAAUUGGCCAAUUCUUCUUUCUCUAUCUAAUUCGUUCUGAUUUACCUUCAAAAUCUGAUUGGUUGAUAUGUCUGCUGGUGGUCAACUUGAAGCCAACAAGAAAGCUAUGAAGAUCCAGUGAUAUGGCUGAAGCAAUUGAUUUGACUGGAUAUGGAGGUGUUU
Molecule: long non-coding RNA, 480 nt
Filed under: Helianthus annuus (common sunflower)
Lineage: Eukaryota; Viridiplantae; Streptophyta; Magnoliopsida; Asterales; Asteraceae
Source: RNAcentral